Molecule: ribosomal RNA, 616 nt
Filed under: Phaeoclavulina grandis
Lineage: Eukaryota; Fungi; Basidiomycota; Agaricomycetes; Gomphales; Gomphaceae
Description: eukaryotic LSU rRNA
Rfam family: Eukaryotic large subunit ribosomal RNA
Source: RNAcentral
UAGCGAGGAUUCCCCUAGUAACGGCGAGUGAAGCGGGAAGAGCUCAAAUUUGUAAUCUCGGCGGCCUCAGGCCGUCCGAGUUGUAGUCUGGAGAAGCGUCUUCCGCGUCGGACCGUGUACAAGUCCCUUGGAACAGGGCGUCGUAGAGGGUGAGAAUCCCGUCUUUGACACGGACUACCGUCGCUUUGUGAUGCGCUCUCGAAGAGUCGAGUUGUUUGGGAAUGCAGCUCAAAAUGGGUGGUAAAUUCCAUCUAAAGCUAAAUAUUGGCGAAAGACCGAUAGCGAACAAGUACCGUGAGGGAAAGAUGAAAAGCACUUUGGAAAGAGAGUUAAACAGUACGUGAAAUUGUUGAAAGGGAAACGAUUGAAGUCAGUCGCGUCUCUCGAGAUUCAGCCUUGCCUUUCCGGCUCGGUGCAUUUCUCGAGCUCGACGGGCCAGCAUCAAUUUCGCUCGUCAGACAAGGGCGGAGGGAAUGUGGCACCGCUUCGGUGUGUUAUAGCCCUCCGUCGCAUGUGACGGCCGGGAUUGAGGAUCGCAGCACGCCUUCAUGGCCGGGGUUCGCCCACGUAACGUGCUUAGGAUGCUGGCGUAAUGGCUUUAAACGACCCGUCUUGA